GUGGCGAAUGCCCGCGGGACUACAUGAACUUGAGUGUCGCCGGUUCGACUCCGGCCGGGGCUUCGGCCCCGUAGCUCAGCGGUUAGAGCAUCAGGCUGUCUCGCACCCACUCGUCGCCACGAC
RNAcentral lists this Y RNA (123 nucleotides) under Sphingomonas sp. BK580. Its description in RNAcentral is "Y RNA-like". It matches the Rfam family "Y RNA-like". From Rfam's summary of the family: In Deinococcus radiodurans Rsr is tethered via Y RNA to the exoribonuclease PNPase and channels single-stranded RNA into the PNPase cavity. Rsr and Y RNA enhance degradation of structured RNAs by PNPase. The record is from RNAcentral. Lineage: Bacteria; Pseudomonadati; Pseudomonadota; Alphaproteobacteria; Sphingomonadales; Sphingomonadaceae.